RNAcentral lists this small RNA (75 nucleotides) under Xanthomonas campestris. Its description in RNAcentral is "sX9 sRNA". It matches the Rfam family "Xanthomonas sRNA sX9". The record is from RNAcentral. Lineage: Bacteria; Pseudomonadati; Pseudomonadota; Gammaproteobacteria; Lysobacterales; Lysobacteraceae. RNAcentral also lists the same sequence under 3 other names.
AUGUACCCACGUACACUCCGGUUCCUCCGCGCCGUCCGCGCCCACCUGACGGCUGCUCGCUACGUUUUGUUAGCC